This 489-nucleotide ribosomal RNA is filed under the name uncultured bacterium. RNAcentral describes it as "partial 16S ribosomal RNA". It matches the Rfam family "Bacterial small subunit ribosomal RNA", at positions 28 to 507 of the family's 1533-position model. The record is from RNAcentral.
GAUGAACGCUAGCUACAGGCUUAACACAUGCAAGUCGCGGGGCAGCAUGGGGGUUGCUUGCAACUCCCGAUGGCGACCGGCGCACGGGUGAGUAACGCGUAUCCAACCUGCCCUUCACCACGGGAUAACCCGGCGAAAGUCGGACUAAUACCGUAUGUUGUCCAUUGACGGCAUCCGAUUUGGACGAAAGGCUUUGCGGUGAAGGAUGGGGAUGCGUCCGAUUAGCCAGACGGCGGGGUAACGGCCACCGUGGCUACGAUCGGUAGGGGUUCUGAGAGGAAGGUCCCCCACACUGGAACUGAGACACGGUCCAGACUCCUACGGGAGGCAGCAGUGAGGAAUAUUGGUCAAUGGGCGUAAGCCUGAACCAGCCAAGUAGCGUGCAGGAUGACGGCCCUAUGGGUUGUAAACUGCUUUUAUGCGGGGAUAAAGUGGCCCACGUGUGGGCUUUUGCAGGUACCGCAUGAAUAAGGACCGGCUAAUUCCGUG